UAGGGAAUAUUGGGCAAUGGAUGCAAGUCUGACCCAGCCAUGCCGCGUGCCGGAUGAAGGCUCUCAGGGUUGUAAACGGCUUUUAUUCGGGAAGAAGAGCACGGAUGCGUCUGUGUGUGACGGUACCGAAUGAAUUAGCACCGGCUAACUCCGUGCCAGCAGCCGCGGUAAUACGGAGGGUGCGAGCGUUGUCCGGAUUUCUUGGGUUUAAAGGGUGCGUAGGUGGCUUUUUAAGUCAGUGGUGAAAUACAGCCGCUCAACGGUUGAGGUGCGAUAGAUACUGAAAAGCUUGAAGAAAGGGGGGGCUGCAGGAAUGGAUGGUGUAGCGGUGAAAUGCAUAGAUAUCAGCCAGAAAACCGAUUGCGAAGGCAGGUGGCUACGUUUGAUUGGACACUGAGGCACGAAAGCAUGGGGAGCAAACA
Molecule: ribosomal RNA, 422 nt
Filed under: uncultured bacterium
Lineage: Bacteria
Description: bacterial SSU rRNA
Rfam family: Bacterial small subunit ribosomal RNA
Source: RNAcentral